Molecule: non-coding RNA, 296 nt
Organism: Pelobates cultripes (western spadefoot toad)
Lineage: Eukaryota; Metazoa; Chordata; Amphibia; Anura; Pelobatidae
Source: the annotation of a GenBank genome assembly
GUUUGAGUCUAUGUAAAUUGUAGCUCACUCUUUGUAGUGUGUAUUCUUUAAUUUUGUCCUGUACGUCCUUGAUUUGGGUGUGCAGUGAUUCUGUCGGGGACGUUUUGUUUCUGGUGGUGAGGUCCGUCAGUUGAGUGUUCCAUUUUAUCCAUUGUGCCUGGGUGUCACGCUUGGUCCUCGCUGCUGUUUGGAUCAGCAAGCCUCUAAUGACUGGUUUGUGCGCCUGCCAUACCAUGUCUAUUUUAGUUUGCUCUGUAUUGUUCGUGUUGAAAUAUUGUGUGAUUUCUUCCUCUAGG